RNAcentral lists this RNase P RNA (412 nucleotides) under Anaerolineae bacterium. RNAcentral describes it as "RNase P RNA component class A". It matches the Rfam family "Bacterial RNase P class A". From Rfam's summary of the family: Ribonuclease P (RNase P) is a ubiquitous endoribonuclease, found in archaea, bacteria and eukarya as well as chloroplasts and mitochondria. The record is from RNAcentral. Lineage: Bacteria; Bacillati; Chloroflexota; Anaerolineae.
AGGGUCGGCUGGGCGAUCGCGGAUUGCGCAGGCAAUCUGAGGAAAGUCCGCGCUCCAAAGAGCACGAUGCCGGAUAAUCCCCGGGCGGUGAAAACCGCGCACAGGACCACAGAAAACAACCGCCGGGUUUCCCGGUAAGGGUGAAAAGGUGGGGUAAGAGCCCACCGGCGUCGGCAGCAAUGUCGUCGGCCAGGCAACCGCCAUCGGGAGCAAGGCCAAGCAGGAGCAAAGCUCGCUUGCGAGCGGGGGGCGGCUCGUCCCCUUGGAGCUCCGGGUAGGCUGCACGAGCCCCGCGGCAACGUGCGGGCCCAGAUAGAUGAUCGCCCACGCGUGUGCGGAUGGGAUGAAGGGAUCUUCCCGUAAACCAUCUACAUACGCUGGACAGAACGCGGCUUAUAGGCCGUCCCACGAU